UUUCCAAGAAGACAAAUCAUCUUGAUGGGCUGUUGUUGCUGGUACCACGACAUUCUCAACAGAAGGAACAUCAGGACUGGGAUCUGACCGCUCCACAUCAUAAAACUCAUCCUCUGAAUCUCCCUCUGUCACUCCUUUUGGUGAUUUAACAUCUUCAACUAUAGAGACUUGCUUCUCAUUCUUAUCAUCUUGCUGCUCCUUGAAU
Molecule: long non-coding RNA, 205 nt
Filed under: Linum usitatissimum (flax)
Lineage: Eukaryota; Viridiplantae; Streptophyta; Magnoliopsida; Malpighiales; Linaceae
Description: long non-coding RNA (LUSI_LNC000097)
Source: RNAcentral